UAGGGAAUCUUCGGCAAUGGACGAAAGCCUGACCGAGCAACGCCGCGUGAGUGAAGAAGGUUUUCGGAUCGUAAAACUCUGUUGUUAGAGAAGAACAAGGACGUUAGUAACUGAACGUCCCCUGACGGUAUCUAACCAGAAAGCCACGGCUAACUACGUGCCAGCAGCCGCGGUAAUACGUAGGUGGCAAGCGUUGUCCGGAUUUAUUGGGCGUAAAGCGAGCGCAGGCGGUUUCUUAAGUCUGAUGUGAAAGCCCCCGGCUCAACCGGGGAGGGUCAUUGGAAACUGGGAGACUUGAGUGCAGAAGAGGAGAGUGGAAUUCCAUGUGUAGCGGUGAAAUGCGUAGAUAUAUGGAGGAACACCAGUGGCGAAGGCGGCUCUCUGGUCUGUAACUGACGCUGAGGAUCGAAAGCGGGGGGAGCAAACAGG
RNAcentral lists this ribosomal RNA (429 nucleotides) under Gemmatimonadota bacterium. RNAcentral's name for it is "Gemmatimonadetes bacterium partial 16S ribosomal RNA". It matches the Rfam family "Bacterial small subunit ribosomal RNA", at positions 355 to 776 of the family's 1533-position model. The record is from RNAcentral. Lineage: Bacteria; Pseudomonadati; Gemmatimonadota.